UUUUUUAGCAUUAAACAUAGAGUUAUAAAAUCCGCUGGCUGUAACUGUAAUUCUGACAUUUCAAACAAAUUUUGUUCUAUAAACAGCAUCACAUCCAUCUAUUCUUAUUCACGUGCUUCGAAAAGUAAAAAUCACAGAUUUACGAAUACGAAUCAACAAGUUAAAAGUACAUACAUAAUAUUUAAGUACCUACAUGUCUGAGUAGGCACGAAAUCAUAAUAUUACGGUUUUACAUAACAAUAAAACCGAUAUUAUGUGCCGAGAAGGAAAACAUACAGCAUUGUAUUAUGAAGAAGCAGUGUGUACUUAGCUUAAAUUCCUUGUCUAUGUCCAACCAUAGACAGUCAAUUUAGUUCCAUCUUUAGCCGCUAGGUGCUGCCAGCAAGUAUAAAGGAAGCGCAGCCAUCUUUGAUCUUCAUAGUCUUCACCAGGAAGAACUUCCUGCAAUGCUGUAUGUUUUCCUUCUCGGCACAUAAUAUCGGUUUUAUUGUUAUGUAAAACCGUAAUAUUGAUGUGCCUUUGGAAAACAUACAGCAUUGUAUUAUGAAGACGUGUUUGUUAUCUGCUGGUGAAAUUAUUAAGCACAACGCUAUGAUGAAAUAGAAAGUCGACAGCGCUGCUUUAUGCAGAAGGAUUGUUUUACAGGCAAAAUUUUCUUUUCGGAAAAGAAAACAGAAUUUGGCAACAUCUGCAGACUUAGGAUCAAUUUUAAAACUGUAGCACCAUAUGCACAUCUUCUAGUUGCUGGUAAGUAUGCUGGCAAAGUGGAUUGACACCAGCUAAUUUUCAAUAAAUCUUCUCCUGUGUAGACCAGUCUAUUAUUUGUACAACCCCCCCCCCCCCGUUUCUAAGCUUUCGGGUUAAUGUUUACCCUGUGGAGGAGGCAGGUUUUGGAUUUCGUGCGAGUUAUCUAGCGUUCGGGAUCUGAGGGCUUGGAAACCCAAAUGCUUUCGCUCAGUCUGGAAACACUACCAGGUAGGUUCCCUAGACACUGUUGAAGUGAGUCAGUACUCUGGGGAAAAGGUUGAGAGGAGGAAUUCUCCAUGCUAGUUGCAUCCUCUACGGUCUGCUGAAGGUAUCCAAUCUUGGUCGGCGAAUGGGUUUAUAUCCGGAUGACCCCACUUUCGAAAAACUUUUGUGGUCACUUGUGGUAAAAAGUGCCAUUUCGCAGGUUGAUUUCCUCGUGAUAGCCUAUCGGCUACGAUGUUGUAUCUCCCCGAGAGAUUAUAAGCUGACAGUUAUCUUGAACUUAUCGCUUAGUUUAAAAAUCGAAAGGUCAACCGCUAGUGAAAUACUUUCAGAUUCAUUUUGAUUGUCACUACCAUUGCAAAUAGCUCUUUUGUGGUUGAGCCGUUUCAGUUGUUGAGCUGACCAUAGACAGGAUGUUAAUAUUUUGUCUAAUUGUAACCCCUACCCAUAUCCGAAGCUUCCGUUGCCAGGAAAUGGUUGGUUUUGUGUCUCGGCAAUGUUUGACAUGUGGCUCCGCGUCAGCACUGCAUUUGUAACCCGUACACAUGUCCGAAGCUUCCGUUGCCAGGAAAUGGUCGGUUUUGUGUAUCGGCAAUGUCUGACAUGUGGCUCCGCGUCAGCACUGCAUUUAAUUGUUAACACAUGCAGGAUGGCCUGUUUUUUACGGGGGUGUUUUUUCUUGAAACUUCGCAAGAAAAUUUGCAAGUUAACAUAGAGUGAUGUAAUUCCGUCAGAGUUUGAGCUAGAAUGUUGUUGAGUGGCCACUUUAUUUCUCGCAAUUUUUCAUCGAAUCCCUAGCCAUGUCAUCUCUUGAACCAGUGUACUAAUUGAUUUUUUGUAAGGCUGACUUGGCAGCCCAAAUAAUCAAAGAGCUUCACAGCUUAUGUGGCCUGAAGACUCAACUUGGACUUCUUUUGAUGGACCAGGAGGGACUUGCGUAGGUGGGAUAACACUCAACAUCCCUUUGCACGCAAUGUUUCCGUGACUGAGCAUGCUAUGCAAGCAAAAAAGGUGUAUUUGUCUUCAUGGACCAAGAGAAAGUCGCGUAGGUAGGUUAACAUUUGACUUCCCUAUGUACGUAAGGUCUUCGCGACCGAGCAUGCUAUGGGAGCAAAAAAGUUUAUUCGUCUUGGUGAAACAAGAUCAAGUCGUGUAGGUAAGCUAGCACUUCGACUUUGCACGCUAUGUCUCCGCGACCGAGCAUGCUAUGGAAGCAAAAAGGUGUAUUUGUCUUCAAGGACCAAGAGAAAGUCACGUAGGUACGUUAACAUUUGACUUCCCUAUGUACGCAAGGUCUCCGCGACCGAGCAUGCUAUGGGAACAAAAACGUUUAUUUGUCUUGGUGAAACAAGAUUAAGUCGUGUAGGUAAGCUAGCACUCUACUUUGCACGCAAUGUCUCCGCGACCGAGCGACCGAGCACCCUACAUAAUGGAAAUUGACAUGCCAGCCCAGAUAAUCCAAAAUCUUCACGGCUUCUGCAGCCUGAAGUUUCAACUUGGAUUUGUCUUGGUCGACCAAAAGGAAGUCGUCUAGUAGACACUAGCACUCGAGUUCCCUUUGCACGCAAGGUCUCUGCGACCCGCAUGUUAUAGAAGCAAAAAGGUGUGGCUCUGAAGCCAGACCGAAGGGUAGGCAUGUCAUUUCAUACUAACUCAUAAGAAGGUACCGAUUGCUUUCUGAAGGUACUGAUACUGGUACCUUGGUAUUGAUCCUCAAGAAGUAUCGACGAAAUUUUGCGACCGAUACUAGAAAAAUAUUCCUGAGAAAUGUUCAAUUUUAUCAUCCAGUCCCCUGGGUGGAGAAAGUUUGGUACCGAGGUGUCCGAAAACAGUUAGGUGUUUUAUCUUUACGACCUUGUUCAACUCUCGAAAAUCGAAAAUUGGACGCAUUGAUCCGUCGCUUUUCUUCCGCAGAAAAAACAUUUUUUUUUUUUUUUUUACGGUAUUUGGUAAUCGGUUACAAAUACGGUUUACAAAUUAUUACAAUUUUGGUGGCACUCAGUGCCUCCCGUCGGUGUCUUCAAUUGCCCCCUCUGGAUUGUGCCAGAUGUUACAGACUAUAAUUGUUUAUAAUGUUUGGUUUGCCUUUUGUACGAGGUUGUGACAAAUAGGAUUGUAGCCCUCCGAGGGACUGAAUAGAUUUCAAUUUAGUAUUAUCAAACAAAAAUUCCUCAAUGAGUGGUGCGUUGGUAACAGGAUACUUUGUUAGAGAUCACGGAAAUUAAACUUUGACGUCUUAUUUUUAUCCAUACGGCCUUUUCCGCAUACAAUUUAAGACGCUUUUACGGAUAACUUGUACGACGAUUUGCCAAAGUUUUCAGUAAUUAUGUUACAAAGAUUAUUAGUUUAAAUCUGUUGUGUUUUUGUCAAAAUUUCCGUAUUGACGAGAUCAAUUUGUUUACAACAAUUUUCGUUACAUUCAAUUGUUACACACAGUUGAUGCAUUAUUAGAUUUACAACGUCACUGACCUGGUGGGAUAACGAGCCGAUUCGAAGAUCGACCGUUACCUUUGAAUCCCGUCGUUUCUUACGCAGAGACUCCUUUUGUUCUUUUUCGCUUGACGAGCUGUUCGAACGCGAGGCGUCUCCAUCGCGUCUCGCCUGGACAUCUUCCCUCUCGGAAAUUAUGGAGCUUGACUCAACAUCACCUCCAACAGAUGACGCGUGAUUCAUGGCGUCCGAUGAUAGGAUCGGUAAAUAAUACUCGUAAUGAUUGCAAAAUAACACUCAUAGAAACACAAAAUAAAUAUUUUUUGCAAUUAAUAAGAAGUCGAAUAAGUAUUUGUGGAUUUGCGACUUCACAGUACGAAAGUACACAACGCUAUGUAGAUCAAAGAUGGCUGCGCUUCCUUUAUACUUGCUGGCAGCACCUAGCGGCUAAAGAUGGAACUAAAUUGACUGUCUAUGGUUGGACAUAGACAAGGAAUUUAAGCUAAGUACACACUGCUUCUUCAUAAUACAAUGCUGUAUGUUUUCCAAAGGCACAUCAAUCUACUGCUAAGUGGCGCUGUUUGCAAAACCUUUGCAUUUAACGUUUGGUAAUCACGCACAUUAGUUUUUUUAAUUUAUGCAGGUAUAUUGCACAUAUGUAGUACGUUACACUGUUAUUCAAUAUUUUCCAAAGAAACUAGGUAGCACAUACAAACAUUCGUAGGUCGUUAUUAUGGAUGUGACUUUUAGAAUGGCUUAAUGUAGGUAUACAAAAUUGCUUAAACUAAUCUACCAUAAUAAUAUUAUUAAUACUAAUAAAAUUAUACAGAAGCCGCAAUCGACUAGAAUUUCAUUUCUCGUUAGGAUUUGCGCUACAAGGAAAUGUUUGUUUGAAAUUGAAUGAAUUUUACGGAAGCGGAACAACAAGCUUAGAAAUACACGGACCUCGACGUUUAAACAUAAACAAACGAUUUAAUGAAAACAACUUUAUUGUGCUGUCUAGAUGAAUAGGAGCUUCAAUUUAAAUUUAUUCAUUUUUGACUAUAACAAUAAUGUAAAUACGAAUGAAAACUACCAUAUUUUCGCGGGCAAGUUCAAUGCACGCCUUACGACUGUGGUUACCGGAACCCGUAGACAAUAGGCGAGUGUUUAUGAGGGUGAAGUCUCAAUGCAUUGUAACUGCCGUCCUAUUCUUCAAACCAGAACGCGUCAAUCCUUCACCGGUCACAAUAGGUUACCACUAGUAAAAACAAUUGAAAAGAAAAAAAA
Molecule: long non-coding RNA, 4668 nt
Organism: Bombyx mori (domestic silkworm)
Lineage: Eukaryota; Metazoa; Arthropoda; Insecta; Lepidoptera; Bombycidae
Exons: 3
Source: RefSeq, a predicted model, not a curated record